AAAGUGGGGGUGGUCAAAGGUCAAAUUUCUAAAAAUUUAUUCCUAGGUGGUUCGAUAAAAUUNAUAAUUUAAUUUCAGUUAAUUGGUUAAUUGAAUUAAUUGAUCUAUAAAUUUAAACUUGAAAUGUUGAUUAUUUAAAUAGUGAUUACUUGUGUAGAGAUUUAAAUUAAAAAUGAAUGAAGGUUUGAUUUAGUUAUUAAAUUUAACAAAGGUAAUUUUAGUGCCAGCAACAGCGGUUAGACUUAAUUUGUAAGUUAAUCUAUAUAAUUUUUGAAUUAAUGUAUUAUAAUAAUGUUUGACUAAAUUUAUUGAAUUAUGGUGAAAUAUUCUUCUUUAGAUAUAUUAAAUUUUAUUUAACUAAUGUUUAUUAAAUUUUACAAUAGACUAGGAUUAGAUACCCUAUUAUAAAAACGAUUUGUAGUUGAGUUAAUUAUUAAAUGUAGAUCAUUAAAAUUAAUAAAUGUGGCGGCUUUGUAAUUUAUUUAGAGGAACUUGUGUAUGAAUUGAUGAACCACUAUAGGAUAGACUAUAAUUUAUUAACUUUGUGUAUUGCUGUUUGAAGAGUUUAUUAAUAUAUUAUUCUUUGAAUAUUUUAUUUAAAAAUAGUAAUUCAAGUCAAAAUGCGGGUUAUUAUAGAUUGCAUGAGUUACAUUGGAUUAUGGUUAUGGAUAAAUUAUUUUAAUAUAAUUUUGAAAUUGGAUUUAAAAGUAAAUUUAUUGAAUUAAAUUUAUUGAAGAUAAUUUUAUUUAGUGUACAAAUUGCCCGUCAUUCUCAUUAUAAGUGAGGAAAGUCGUAACAUAGUAAAUGUACUGGAAAGUGUAUUUUUUGGAGA
Molecule: non-coding RNA, 832 nt
Filed under: Andrena dorsata
Lineage: Eukaryota; Metazoa; Arthropoda; Insecta; Hymenoptera; Andrenidae
Source: RNAcentral